This 1572-nucleotide long non-coding RNA is filed under the name Malus domestica (apple). RNAcentral's name for it is "long non-coding RNA (MDOM_LNC008803)". Lineage: Eukaryota; Viridiplantae; Streptophyta; Magnoliopsida; Rosales; Rosaceae. The record is from RNAcentral.
AUAAAUCUUUCGCUUCUCCCUGUGCAAAUCUCAGAGGCGCUUACCAUAAUUGCUUCACGAGGUCCUCUCUCUCUUCUCGCUCUAAAAUCUAUCUCAAAAAGUUAUAAUGGGUAUCGUUUUUGUCCGCAGGUUGUACCCGGAGAAGGUUGUGGUUUUUUUUUUGGAUUUCAGAUUUCUCUUUGUUAUCAAAUCGCUUAUGUAUUUUCUUGGUAUUAGGAUCUAAGAUUUUUGGUUUUUAAAGAGCAGCAGGCGAAGUUGGGGUACGUUUUCUUCUUUCUGUAUUUUUUUUGUUUAAUUUCUAAUUUUUAUUUCAUGCAUGGUGGACUUCUCUUUUGUAAUUAUUAAAUUGCUUCUAUAUUGGUUUGCUAUUUAAGAUCUGAUUUAUUUUAUUUUAUUUUUUGUUUUUUGCAUUUCAAGAGCAGCGGCAGGAUAUACCUUUUCUAUUUUUCUAUUUUUUUUUUUAAUUUCUAACUUUUAUGCAAGAUAUGAAAAUAUUGUAUGAAUCUCAUUCUCAUGUACGAUUAUCACCAAACGUAUAUAUUUUUCGUGGAAUUCUUGAGAAAAUCCAAGCUGAAUUCCAUUUUGUUUGGAAGAAAUUUAAUACCAGAAAGCUUGGCUCUCGUUCUGAUUUGAAGAAAUUUUAAUUUUUUUUCUUGGAUUAAACUACUCUAGAUUAAUUGUAGUUUGUGGGUUCAAUUAGGAACUUAGAUCUACUGAAUUAACUGUUUUUAGGGUCUGUUUUUCAGAAUAUUGAAUCAGUUUAUUUGUUAUUUACGUUAUUCCAUUGGGGUGUGCUAUCUACGCACCCCAUUUUACUUCUCACACACCCUUUGAUGAUUUAUGUCCAUUGAUUUUCUUCAAUUCAUCCGAUCUGACGGCCGAAAAUUAAAAAGGUGUAUGAGAAGUAAAAUGGGGUGUGGAUAUCAUACCCCUAUUCCAUUUCCAACUUUAGAAGGUGAUCUCAGUUCACCUGUUGUGAUUGAUCACAGUCGGUGAUUUAAUGAUUUCAUGUUUUUUAAAUUGUGUUACAUCUUAAUUUAAUGGUGAUUACAGGAGGAUACGUGUAGAUGUAGCAAUUGUUUUGUAAGCGCCAAAAACUGUGCAUGGGCCAGGGUUAGCAGUUGCUAUUUCAUCCCAUAGAUGGCGACGCUAUUCUUAUUGAGUAAUCUUCGAAGAAAGUUACCUCUUCAGAGAAGUACUCUGGCAGCAUUCGUUAAGCACUCUCCCUUUACUUUUCUUACAAGGAUUGCAACCUGGUUUGGAUCAGUACUGAUCAGUUUGUGGUCAUUGUUUUGGCAUUCAAUACAAGAGAAAUAUAAAGUCCUUGUCUUCAAGGCAUAGAAAAGACUUCAAUAUGGACUCAACUCCUCCAUAAGAACGAUCUUUUGAUAAGGAGGCAGUUUACUUGUGGCGCAAGCAAAUGACCUAUAUGACACUUAAAACAAUAUGUUGCUCUUGGCUAGUAGUGGCAUGCCUAAAAUUAAUUAAUUUGGUAAGAGAGCCUAAGAGCCUACGCAAGGCUUUGUAGGCACCUUCAAAUUGCUCACUUACGCAGGGAGAGUUGUGUGGGGA